Non-coding RNA from Hippocampus comes (tiger tail seahorse), 578 nucleotides. NCBI's taxonomy places the organism in Eukaryota, Metazoa, Chordata, Actinopteri, Syngnathiformes, Syngnathidae. The record is from the annotation of a RefSeq genome assembly.
AUGUAUGCUGAACCAAAUGCCAAAAUCACGCUUCCCAAGGUGACGUUGUUCCCGCCUUCGAAGAAAGAGUGCACCAACGAGAAGGACAGAGAGACCAAGAAGAAGACGCUGGUCUGCGCCGCCACCGACUUCUACCCCGACCACGUCAGCGUGGCCUGGAUGGUGGACGGGCAGAAGAGGGAAACGGGCGUGGCUACGGACCCCGAGGCCCGGAAGCGAGGGGUCAGAUAUAGCAUCACCAGCAGGCUCAGGGUCCCGGCGGACGAAUGGUCACGCGGGAGCCGGAAGUUCACCUGUGUCGUAACAUUUUUCAAUGGGGAGACAUAUGUCGACGUUCCAGAUUCCAUCAGCGGCAAUGAUGCUGAAGACGGACAGAGUCGAGAGAGCUUUCUGAAGUUGACGCAGAGCGCCAAGCUGUCAUACGGCGUCCUGAUCGCCAAGAGCUGCGUCUACGCCGCCUUUGUGGCCUUCCUGCUGUGGCGGAUCAGGAUGCCGUCUGGAAAAAACCACUAAAGGAGAAAUAUCUUUUAUCUUGUAUUUUUUUGUUGAAUAAAAGUAUUAUUUAGUCACAACAACAA